Taeniopygia guttata (zebra finch) is the source of this 430-nucleotide long non-coding RNA. RefSeq lists it as uncharacterized. The record is from RefSeq and is a predicted model, not a curated record. NCBI's taxonomy places the organism in Eukaryota, Metazoa, Chordata, Aves, Passeriformes, Estrildidae.
UGUGACCUUAGAAAACACACAGAGAAAUUAAAAUAACGUUCAGGACCACAUCAACCACAGGGGCCUGAAAGUGCUCCACACCCAAGAGCAGCCUCACAUGAGGGCAGCCAGCACCGGAGAGCCUCGGGGCCAAAGGAGGUCCUGGAUUGUUUAGCAAUGCUGCUGGAGUCCUUAGGAUCACUUGCAGCCUGGGGACAUGAACACCACCACUGGACAGCCAGGGGAGAACCCGAACUUCCACAGCAGAACCAGACCACCCAUACGACCACUGCUUUUGAGAGCACUGCAACCAUCACUGCUUAAUCAGACUGCAACCACCACCCUGCCCGACACGGGCCAGGUUGUACUCUGACUUUGUGGGUUUAAACCAGUUUUUCUGUAUAAUUCCAUCAACUGUGAGCUUUCUAUUAAAUUGUAACUCCGACCUGAA